Parasteatoda tepidariorum (common house spider) is the source of this 1492-nucleotide non-coding RNA. The record is from RefSeq and is a predicted model, not a curated record. Lineage: Eukaryota; Metazoa; Arthropoda; Arachnida; Araneae; Theridiidae.
UUACAUUUUUUGCAGACUGCUAUGGAGGAAGAACAUAUUAUUUUACAUGCUCCCGAAAUCGAGGCUUAUCUGGAAAGCUUACAACUUUUUGAUAUACCAAAUAUUGGAAGUCCAAGAUGGUUCAAUCAGCAGGAAAAGAUCUACAACCUAUCGCUACAAGCUGCUUUAGAUGUAAAAUCAGGACGAGAAGAAAUAAUAAAAGAAAAUAUAAUAACCUUGCAUAAGGUUCCAUUGUUGGUCCAUGAAUUGAUAGCUACUGAGUUAUGGAGACUGAAAAUAUUCCCUCUGUUGACAAAAAGUCAAACAGUCAUGAAAUCGAAUGUUCCCAUUUAUAUCGUGCUUUAUCAUGAGGUGACUUUAGUUUCGUUUUUGGAAGCUGUUUUGUUUCAUGAAGAUGUCUUCGAAACUGCUGCGGACGUUUUAAUUGAUUUAAUUGACUAUUGUUACCGGAAAAUUAUAAAACUAAGCAGCUUGGAAAACGAAUCCCAUGCAGAUUCACGAUCUGCAGAAGAAGCAAACGUUCUAUAUGAACAAAAGAAAGAUCUGGAUUUUGAAUCUGGAAUGAAAUGCAUUUCCCUUUUAUCAUACAUGACCCAACAUCUCAAAAUAUUACCAUUGAGUGCUUUACAUCGCUUACUCGUAACCCAUGAUAUACCAUUGCUUUUUACAAAUUUAAUUGAUGAUCCUCCUUGGGUACGAACUGUAAAUGAAGAAAAAGAAAAGUAUUAUGAAGGAAAAUGGACUAAAUGCAAUCAAGAAGACUUGAUGAAACUAAACAAAGCAGAGGGACAGGUCUGGAUUGCUUUAAUUCAAUUAUUACUGAAUCCUGAAUGCCAAAAGAAAUACGAUAUGACAGGCUAUAAAAAAGACCAAUUAUUAAAACUUAGAUCCAAGCUAAAUGAUGUGAUCUUCGACCAAAUACCUAUUUUAAACGAACUAUUACGGUUUUUGGAAUAUCUCAGUAUGUUUGAAGCUCCUAUUCCAAAAACCGGUAUUAUUAUCGAGCAGGUAAGAUUUUUUUAAGUGUGAAUAAUGUUCUUCUGUAACGUUUAAAAUAAUUAUUUGAUUAUUUAUUUCAACUAGCCCUCUAAACAUUUUUUAAAUAACAGGUUCCAGAUAUUUGGGAAACUUUACAAAACAAAUAUGAGGGGAAAUGGAAUAGAAUAGCUCAGGGGCAAAUGGAGGAUUAUUUUUCUUUGUCAGAUGCCGAGCUUCAGAAAUUCUGUAAAAAGUUAUCCGGCUCCUUUGAUCUUACGAAUAUUGAAGCUGCUCUUCCAGAUACUCCAAUCUGCGCAACAUGCGGUGGAAUAGGCUUAAAACGAUGUUCUAGGUGCAAAAACGAAUGGUACUGUGGAAGAUCCUGCCAAGUUUCUCAUUGGCUUAAGCAUAAGACAGGUUGUGAUUUAAUGGCUUGUGAAACAGAAAACACUUAAAAGAACUGCCAAACAAUUUAUUAGAAUUAUGUAAUAAGUUUAAGGGUAUUCUGAAAAUC